AUGAUGAGCCUGUUUACUCCUGUUGCAGAUGUGAAGUCACCACUGCCUACGACAGAUGACCACUACUGGUUUUCACCGUGUGGACCACAAGCAGCUUCAGAAGUCCUGUUGUGGUCAAAGGAGAUGCAUCUGAUCAAGAGAUGUGAAGUCACCACUGCCUACGACAGAUGGCCAACUACUGGUUUUCACCGUGUGGACCACAAGCAGCUUCAGAAGUCCUGCUGUGGUCAAAGAAGAUGCAGCUGA
This 246-nucleotide long non-coding RNA is filed under the name Cyclopterus lumpus (lumpfish). Its description in RNAcentral is "lncRNA (ENSCLMG00005001717.1)". The record is from RNAcentral. Lineage: Eukaryota; Metazoa; Chordata; Actinopteri; Perciformes; Cyclopteridae.